AGGGUUUGAUUAUGGCUCAGGAUGAACGCUGGCGGCGUGCCUAACACAUGCAAGUCGAACGGAACUAUUUUGGAAACUCCUUCGGGAGCGGAAUCUUUAGUUUAGUGGCGGACGGGUGAGUAACGCGUGAGCAAUCUGCCUUUAAGAGGGGGAUAACAGUCGGAAACGGCUGCUAAUACCGCAUAAAGCAUCAAAUUCGCAUGUUUUUGAUGCCAAAGGAGCAAUCCGCUUUUAGAUGAGCUCGCGUCUGAUUAGCUGGUUGGCGGGGUAACGGCCCACCAAGGCGACGAUCAGUAGCCGGACUGAGAGGUUGAACGGCCACAUUGGGACUGAGACACGGCCCAG
Molecule: ribosomal RNA, 345 nt
Filed under: uncultured bacterium
Lineage: Bacteria
Description: bacterial SSU rRNA
Rfam family: Bacterial small subunit ribosomal RNA
Source: RNAcentral